Molecule: non-coding RNA, 1939 nt
Organism: Camellia sinensis
Lineage: Eukaryota; Viridiplantae; Streptophyta; Magnoliopsida; Ericales; Theaceae
Source: RefSeq, a predicted model, not a curated record
CUUUCCAAAACAAUUUUUCAAAACCAUUUCUGAAAAAAGACAAACCAAACAAGUUUUCGUACUUUUUAUUUCAAAAACUACUCUACAAAUACAAACCAAACACACCCUUAAUAUUUAAAAAUGCUAAAUUAAGAUGGUAAAAUUUUUACUUUCAUGUAUAUCGUAAAAUUUUACUAUCAACAAAAUAAUGAAUUUUGAAUAAUUUUUUAUUAGUUGUUACAAGCCACUAUUUUCAUGUUAGUUUGCUAGUGUUAUCACUAUUGUUGUUCUUUCCAUCAUUAUCAUAAUUAUUGUUUCUGACUGGUAUAUUAGUUUCUAUAGAUUGUGGCUUUCUGUCUAUGGAAGAAUAUAUGUGGAAGUAUAACAAUUCUGUUUUUAUAUCUCUUUCAGUGUUCUUAACAAUAACUUUUGCUACUUCAGAGGUUCAUACGUAGUGAGAUGAUCAAGUAUGUUUGUACUUUUGGAGGUAGCACACCAGCGAUUUGUUUUUACAAAGGUACAUUCUUACCUAAUUUUUAUCUUGUUGUAUAGUGAAUGGCUUCUAGAGCUUCCUGAGUAGAUAAAAAAUGUGUCUCCCUUUCUUCAAUUAUUUUGUAUAUUUGUAUAUGCAUAUAUUCUUACUAUUGGCUCAAAAGACAAAUAAACCCUGUUUUUUCUUUUCUUUAUUUUUGCACCUAUAGUUUAUUGGCCUUCAAAUGUUCACAAGUGAUGAGAAAUCUUAUGAAGAAGAGGAUGAGGUCGUUGUUUAUAGCAUUUCAGUGAUGAUUGUCAAGUUGAGUUGUCAGGCCAACAAAUCUGUGCACAAAGCAGCCAACAAAUCUGUGCACAACGCAGUGGAUUAACCAUGUGCUAAAUUUCCACUUUCCUUCACGUCCAAGCAGGGACAAAGGUUAGACCUCAAACAAACCUGGAGCAGCACCCUGGACCUCGAAGAAUCAGAAAGGAGUGUUGGCCAUGUUGAUAAGUAUUAUAUGGGACCAGGAGACCAAUGCUGUAGGUCAAAGAAGGAAGUCUUACAAUACAUUAAUCAAAUGAACAGAGCUGCCAAGUUUGGAUUUGGUAAAAACCAGGUUUGAGCAGCUUACGAUAAUAGAUGAUGGCAGGCCAUGUUAUUAUGCCUUGAUUCAUAACUCGAUAUCUAAGAGGCUUGUCAAGUUGGUGAAAACCUGGUUUGGGCUGCUUAGGAUGGUAGUGGUGGUUUGCCACGUUACUAUGCCUUGAUUCAUAGUGUGGUAUCCUAGAGGUCUUUCAAGUUGGUGAAAACCAGGUUUGGGCUGCUUAUGAUGAUGAUGAUGGCUUGCGAUGUUACUUAUGCCUUAAUCCAUAGUGUGAUAUCCAAGGGGCCUUUCAAGUUGGUGAAAACCAGGUUUGGGCUGCUUAUGAUGAUAUUGGCUUGCCACGUUACCAUGCCUUGAUAUCCAAGAGGCCUUUCAAGUUGGUGAAAAUCAAGUCUGGGCUUAUGAUGACGAUGAUGGCAUGCAGUGUUACUAUGCCUUAAUUCAUAGUGUGACAUCUAAGAGGCCUUUCAAGUUGGUGAAAAUUGGGUUUGGGCUGCUUAUGAUGAUGAUGAUGGCAUGCCGCUUUACUCUGCUUUGAUUCAUAGUGCAAUAUCUAAGAGGCCUUUCAAGUUACGGAGGAAUGCACAAGUUGAAGUUCCAUGACAACUUAUCCCUCAGACGUCCAUAGGCACAAGCUUGACUGAAGAGGAUCGACCAGUGCUUCUACUAUACUGAGGAGCCAUUCGCAGCAAUAAGGGAUAAUGAACAGUGAUGGCAACAUGAAAUUGAAUCGUUCAUUAGGAAACAUUUGUUUUCAUUUAUUUGGAUUUUUUUUUUCCUUUUCAGAAUGCAUGUAUAAAGCACAAAUGUAUAUGAGCUCUUUUUGCACAUUGUACAAACUCUCAGUUUGUGUAAUGUACAUAUUUCAUCUUUUUGCCUGA